GUACGGGAGGCAGCAGUGGGGAAUAUUGCGCAAUGGGGGAAACCCUGACGCAGCAACGCCGCGUGAAGGAAGAAGGCCUUCGGGUCGUAAACUUCUGUCUUAGCUGACGAUAAUGACGGUAAGCUAGGAGGAAGCCACGGCUAACUACGUGCCAGCAGCCGCGGUAAUACGUAGGUGGCGAGCGUUGUCCGGAAUUACUGGGCGUAAAGGGUGCGCAGGCGGUAUCUUAAGUCAGAUGUGAAAUUCCGGGGCUCAACUCCGGAACUGCAUUUGAAACUGGGAUGCUAGAGUGCAGGAGAGGAAAGCGGAAUUCCUAGUGUAGCGGUGAAAUGCGUAGAUAUUAGGAAGAACACCAGUGGCGAAGGCGGCUUUCUGGACUGUAACUGACGCUGAGGCACGAAAGCGUGGGGAGCAAACAGGAUUAGAUACCCCUGUAGUCC
RNAcentral lists this ribosomal RNA (440 nucleotides) under uncultured bacterium. RNAcentral's name for it is "bacterial SSU rRNA". It matches the Rfam family "Bacterial small subunit ribosomal RNA", at positions 339 to 796 of the family's 1533-position model. The record is from RNAcentral.